AAGUCGUAACAAGGUUUCCGUAGGUGAACCUGCGGAAGGAUCAUUACCGAGUUGAUUCGGGCUCCGUCCCGAUCCUCCCACCCUUUGUAUACCUACCUCUGUUGCUUUGGCGGGCCGCGGUCUUCCGCGGCCGCCCCCCGAUUUUGGGGGGUGGCUAGUGCCCGCCAGAGGACUAUCAAACUCCAGUCAGUAAACGUUGCAGUCUGAAAAAAAUAUUAAAUAAACUAAAACUUUCAACAACGGAUCUCUUGGUUCUG
This 257-nucleotide unclassified non-coding RNA is filed under the name Macrophomina phaseolina. RNAcentral's name for it is "partial internal transcribed spacer region". The stretch from base 1 to 46 matches the Rfam family "Eukaryotic small subunit ribosomal RNA", at positions 1786 to 1831 of the family's 1831-position model. Lineage: Eukaryota; Fungi; Ascomycota; Dothideomycetes; Botryosphaeriales; Botryosphaeriaceae. RNAcentral also lists the same sequence under 2 other names. The record is from RNAcentral.